GAUGAAGAACGUAGCGAAAUGCGAUAAGUAAUGCGAAUUGCAGAAUUUCCGUGAGUCAUCGAAUCUUUGAACGCACAUUGCGCCCACUGGUAUUCCGGUGGGCAUGCCUGUUCGAGCGUCAUUAUCCUCUCUCAAACCCCGGGUUUGGUGUUGGACCCAAGUUGUGUGAACAACUGGUCUCAAAGACAAUGACGGCGUCCGUGGGACCCUCGGUGCAACGAGCUUUUAGGAGCACGCAUCGAGUUGCAAGGACCUUCCGGGCCGGUCUCCUUUACCAUUUUACAAGGUUGACCUCGGAUCAGGUAGGAAUACCCGCUGAACUUAAGCAUAUCAAUAAGCGGAGGA
Molecule: unclassified non-coding RNA, 345 nt
Filed under: soil metagenome
Description: partial contains 5.8S ribosomal RNA, internal transcribed spacer 2, and large subunit ribosomal RNA
Rfam family: 5.8S ribosomal RNA (bases 1-121)
Source: RNAcentral